UGCAAGUCGAACGCUUCUUUUUCCACCGGUAGCUUGCUUCCACCGGAAAAAGAAGUAGUGGCGAACGGGUGAGUAACACGUGGGUAACCUGCCCAUCAGAAGGGGAUAACACUUGGAAACAGGUGCUAAUACCGUAUAACAAUCAAAACCGCAUGGUUUUGAUUUGAAAGGCGCUUUCGGGUGUCGCUGAUGGAUGGACCCGCGGUGCAUUAGCUAGUUGGUGAGGUAACGGCUCACCAAGGCCACGAUGCAUAGCCGACCUGAGAGGGUGAUCGGCCACAUUGGGACUGAGACACGGCCCAAACUCCUACGGGAGGCAGCAGUAGGGAAUCUUCGGCAAUGGACGAAAGUCUGACCGAGCAACGCCGCGUGAGUGAAGAAGGUUUUCGGAUCGUAAAACUCUGUUGUUAGAGAAGAACAAGGAUGAGAGUAACUGUUCAUCCCUUGACGGUAUCUAACCAGAAAGCCACGGCUAACUACGUGCCAGCAGCCGCGGUAAUACGUAGGUGGCAAGCGUUGUCCGGAUUUAUUGGGCGUAAAGCGAGCGCAGGCGGUUUCUUAAGUCUGAUGUGAAAGCCCCCGGCUCAACCGGGGAGGGUCAUUGGAAACUGGGAGACUUGAGUGCAGAAGAGGAGAGUGGAAUUCCAUGUGUAGCGGUGAAAUGCGUAGAUAUAUGGAGGAACACCAGUGGCGAAGGCGGCUCUCUGGUCUGUAACUGACGCUGAGGCUCGAAAGCGUGGGGAGCAAACAGGAUUAGAUACCCUGGUAGUCCACGCCGUAAACGAUGAGUGCUAAGUGUUGGAGGGUUUCCGCCCUUCAGUGCUGCAGCUAACGCAUUAAGCACUCCGCCUGGGGAGUACGACCGCAAGGUU
This 872-nucleotide ribosomal RNA is filed under the name Enterococcus faecium. Its description in RNAcentral is "bacterial SSU rRNA". It matches the Rfam family "Bacterial small subunit ribosomal RNA", at positions 56 to 895 of the family's 1533-position model. Lineage: Bacteria; Bacillati; Bacillota; Bacilli; Lactobacillales; Enterococcaceae. The record is from RNAcentral.